Molecule: unclassified non-coding RNA, 344 nt
Filed under: soil metagenome
Description: partial contains 5.8S ribosomal RNA, internal transcribed spacer 2, and large subunit ribosomal RNA
Rfam family: 5.8S ribosomal RNA (bases 1-121)
Source: RNAcentral
GAUGAAGAACGUAGCGAAAUGCGAUAAGUAAUGCGAAUUGCAGAAUUUCCGUGAGUCAUCGAAUCUUUGAACGCACAUUGCGCCCACUGGUAUUCCGGUGGGCAUGCCUGUUCGAGCGUCAUUAUCCUCCCUCAAACCUCGGGUUUGGUGUUGGACCCAAGUUGUGUGAACAACUGGUCUUAAAGACAAUGACGGCGUCCGUGGGACCCUCGGUGCAACGAGCUUUUAGGAGCACGCGUCGAGUUUCAAGGACCUUCCGGGCCGGUCUCCUUUACCAUUUUACAAGGUUGACCUCGGAUCAGGUAGGAAUACCCGCUGAACUUAAGCAUACAAUAAGCGGAGGA